RNAcentral lists this long non-coding RNA (581 nucleotides) under Equus asinus (donkey). RNAcentral's name for it is "lncRNA (ENSEASG00005031480.1)". The record is from RNAcentral. Lineage: Eukaryota; Metazoa; Chordata; Mammalia; Perissodactyla; Equidae.
GCGGUUUCAUGAACUCAUCUUUUUCGUGGAGCCUGGCAAACAAGAACAGACUGUUUUUAGAAGUCGUCAUGGUGAUUUGGACCCUGAUUUUCAGAAAGAGUUUUAAGUGAUUUGUUGUCUGUUUCCCUGACAAUGGGAACUUAGGGAAUCGAAUUCUUCAGAGUAAAAACUUGUCCCCCCAAGCUUCCCGUCCUGGCUACUCUAGGCCUGACGUCCUGAAGCCUCUCAUAGGAUGGGAACCUGACAGGCUCCUGAGACAAGCCCUCCUACUGUGUAUAGGAAACUCUUUCAGGAACAGCGAGUUUCACCAAAGCAGGAGUCGGUGUUUACCUGUGACCAGUGCUGGGCAUGGAUCUGCAAAUCUGUUUAUCAUCAUAGGACCCAACGUUUCACCUUUUGCUCUAUCUCCGAGGAAACUCAGAAUUCAAGCUCUUCAGUAAUAGUAAUGAUUUUGGUUGAUACCUGGUAACUGCUUAUCAGCUCUUUUCAAGUGGCUUUACCUUUAAAUAAAUUUUUAAAGGCACCUUGAAUCUCAUCUUUGAAAGUAUAUAGAAAAUCAAUAAAAUCAGCACUCCAACCCA